Long non-coding RNA from Vigna radiata var. radiata (mung bean), 1725 nucleotides. RefSeq lists it as uncharacterized. NCBI's taxonomy places the organism in Eukaryota, Viridiplantae, Streptophyta, Magnoliopsida, Fabales, Fabaceae. The record is from RefSeq and is a predicted model, not a curated record. The transcript is spliced from 3 exons.
UUUUGAUCAUGGUUUGGGUUAUAAUUUGAUUACUGGUUUUUUUUAGACGGAAUAUGAUUAUCCUUUUCAUAAAAAAUAAAAAAAAUAACGAAGAGAUGGAAGAAAUUUUUGAAAUAAAUGAAAUUACGGAGAGGUGAAGGAACCACAUGGGGCGUUGAGGGAGCAACACCCUUGGACUAGCUAUUUUCUACGUUGGGCCGCUGCUUGCAGCUAAACUUAAUGAAACGGUGUGUGGCAGCUGCUGUCUUGGGGAAUUUGUUUAGGGUGGAGCAUCUCAUUUUGAAGAACAUCCAAAAGCUAUAGGGUUCGAGAGAGAGAGAAGCGAGAGGAAGAUGAGCUCCAACGGUGCGAUCUUGACUCGAAGCUCGAGCACGUGACCGGAGCUGACCAGUGAGGCGAAGAGAUUAAAGUUGAUCUGAGGGCUUGGAGAGGAGAGCAAACGUAGACCGUCCGAUUGGAAGAUGCUCGAAGCGUCGAAGAGAAGAAAAUUGGUGAGCUAGCGAAGCGCUUGAUUAGCUUGAAUUCUGGUAUGAGAAUGCCAUAAGAUCAGUACUUGAAAAAUUUUCUUCAGAAGUUAAUCUUGAUGAAGAGAGUAUCUUAAACAAGCAAUUGCUUAUGAAGCUUGAGAUGUUGGAGAACCAAUAAUUUAUACAAGGAGACAAGCAAGCAAAAAAAAGCAAGUGGUGGCAUUGUUAUUGGAUCUUCCUAUGCUUUUAAGAAAGGUCCAGGUGCAACUUCAGCUUCAAUAGGAAGGAAGGGCAAAAAGACAAUGCAAAUUGGAGUUGAUAAUGAAUUGCAAUUGGAUAGCUCUGACUACGAGUUUUAAAAAUUAUGUAACUUGACAAGCAUAUUUCUUUUUGAAGGGAAAGAUGAGGAGGCAUAUGCCUCGUUGGAUAAUAUUGGAGAUAAUUAUGUUGGUGAUAGGUUCCUCAACAAUGAACCUAAUCAGAAACUCAAAAACUCAAACAGAGCACACCAGGUAUGGAGAAAGAUCCCUUUUAUUCACAAAAGAAUAUCUGUAUACAAUGAACAAUAGAGGCCUAACCCUCUUCACAGGAUAGAACCUGUUUAACAAACAAUCAACCAAAAGUCCCCCCCUCCUACUAUUAUCUAAAAGAAAACUUUCCUCAUAUUUGUUUACAAGAGUUUGACAAUCUUCUCUCCAGUGGAAGAAGGGUGAAUGUGGAUACUAUGUGACUUCUAUUUGUUUUCUCUAAUAAUCAAUAAUUAAUUAUUAUACUGUAAGAACCUAAAUUCCAAGAAAGACUGGAAGAGAAAGGAUUGAAUAAGCUUUUUUUUAUCUGGGUCGUUGAGUAGGAUCGUAGAAGAAGUAGAACUUGGAUUUAUUUGGUGGCCGUAGAAGAAGUAGAACUUGGAUUUAUUUGGUUGAGGAAUCUGUGGAGACCUUGGUUCAGUAUUGAAGAUGAAGAAGAUGAAGAGGGAGAAUGCAGAAGGUAAGGAAAAAUAAAAAAAAAUUACACAUCUACCUGGAAUUCAUUUAAUUUAAUAUCUAAUGCUAUGUCAUUUAAAAAAAUCAAACUCAACAACUGUUAUACGGCGUUAGUGAAAAUUUAACGGAGAGGGUUUAAUUGUCUCAUUUUCACAAAUAAUAGGAUCCGAUUGAGAAAAAAAAAAAUAUCAAUGACCAAAUUGAGAUUGACACGAGGAUCAAAUGAGGGUUUAAACCAUUUCAAAAUCCGAUUUAGGAAAUUCACCAAAUUUCUU